RNAcentral lists this ribosomal RNA (301 nucleotides) under uncultured bacterium. Its description in RNAcentral is "partial 16S ribosomal RNA". It matches the Rfam family "Bacterial small subunit ribosomal RNA", at positions 509 to 807 of the family's 1533-position model. The record is from RNAcentral.
CAGUAGCCGCGGGAAUACGGAGGGGGCUAGCGUUGUUCGGAAUUACUGGGCGUAAAGCGUGCGUAGGCGGUUUGUUAAGUCUGCUGUGAAAUCCCCGGGCUCAACCUGGGAAUGGCAGUGGAUACUGGCAAGCUAGAGUGUGUCAGAGGAUGGUGGAAUUCCCGGUGUAGCGGUGAAAUGCGUAGAGAUCGGGAGGAACAUCAGUGGCGAAGGCGGCCAUCUGGGACAACACUGACGCUGAGGCACGAAAGCGUGGGGAGCAAACAGGAUUAGAUACCCGAGUAGUCCCUGUCUCUUAUAC